This 225-nucleotide unclassified non-coding RNA is filed under the name plant metagenome. RNAcentral's name for it is "partial contains small subunit ribosomal RNA, internal transcribed spacer 1, and 5.8S ribosomal RNA". The record is from RNAcentral.
CCUCCGUUGGUGAACCAGCGGAGGGAUCAUUACUGUGUUACACAACUCCCAAACCCAUGUGAACUUACCUGUCGUUGCUUCGGCGGACCGCCUCGGGGCCCAUCGGCCGCGCAUCCACGGCGCCCGCCGGGGGCUCGAAAGACUCUUGUUUUUUUAUACGCAGACUUCUGGGUGGCAUUUAUUACAAAUAAAUCAAAGCUUUCAACAACGGAUCUCUUGGUUCUG